Molecule: long non-coding RNA, 4567 nt
Organism: Symphalangus syndactylus (siamang)
Lineage: Eukaryota; Metazoa; Chordata; Mammalia; Primates; Hylobatidae
Source: RefSeq, a predicted model, not a curated record
AGUUUUGCUCUUGUUGCCCAUGCAGGAGUGCAAUGGUGCAAUCUCGGCUCACUGCAACCUCUGCCUCCUGGGUUCAAGCGAUUCUCCUACCUCAGCCUCCUGAGUAGCUGGGACUACAGGUACCCAUCCACACCGGUAUUUUUUUUUUUUCUUUUUUUGGUAUUUUCAGUAGAGAUGGGGAUUUCACCAUGUUGGUGAAGCUGGUCUCGAACUCCUGACCUCAAGUUAUCCACCUGCCUCGACCUCCAAAAGUGCUGUGAUUAUAGGCAUGAGCCAUCGUGCCCAGCCAAUACUGCGCUUUCACAAAUCCAAGCUGCAUGAAACAGAAAGAGCAUUAUAUUGCCUUCUGGUGAUGGGUCAGUCUAUCUCUGUGAAUCUAGUCAUAAAAGCAUAGAAAUUCAGAGCUGAAAGGGACUUCAGAGAUCAUCUUGUCAACUCUUUCAGUUUAAAGGUGAAGAAAGCAAGACCCAGAGAAAACUAAAGAUUUGCCCAAGGCUACAGAACUAGUUACAAGGAACCUGGGCCUGUCCUUUUUCCCCUAUCACACAGUGUAGUAACAGAGUCCUAUGGCACCUGACAUACCCAGUGUUUCUUCCAUCCCAGUAUUUUACCAAUGAUACUGUUGCUAUUUAGCGUUCUAUAAGAAAUUCCCGAGAAAGAAGAAGAUGCUCUUGAUCUUCUUUUCAGAGUGAUACAGAUUGUGCCAAAGCCCCCAACUCACCUAUUCCAUAGCAGGAGGCACAAGCCAAUGUACAACAAAUCCCUGAACACAACACAGAAAAAAGAAGAAAAACCACCCUAUCGUGAUCUCAAAGAAAGUAGGGUCAAAGAUCUGAUGGGCACCGUUGACCACAAACCCUUUGAUGUAUAAUGCUUAAGACAGAUAGUGUGUCACUUUCAUAAGUAAAGCAAGCACAAAAAAUGUCAAAUUCUGCUUCAAGGGCAAUGAGCCUCCCAACAGGACUGAUUAGGGGAGAAGCCCACCCAUCCUUUCUAUUUUCCUCUUCAUUGAACUUGUGCAAUAUAUUUCCAUAAAUGUCUUAGUGGCCAGAACUUUCAAGGGCAAGAACUUUUUAAAUAACUUUCCAUUAUAUAAAUAAUAGGCAACAAUUAUAGAAAACUUGGAAAAUACAGAACAUUAUACAGAAGAAAACAAAAGAGAUCUAUCUACCAUCUGUAGACAAAUUCUGUUAAUUUUUCAAUAUAUCUCACCACUGUUUCUUCUAGGCAUGCAUAUGCACAAUAUUUUUCAAAUAAAUUGACCUCACAUCAUUACACAUUGCUUUGUAGUCUGCUUUUUCCCCUACACAUUACAAUUUAUUAAGAAUAUAUAUAUUUUUGCAAGUGGUUCUCAAACUUUAGUGAGCAUCAGAAUCACCUGGAAAGGCUUGUUAAAACACAGAGUGCUGAAUCUCAAUCCCAGUUUCUGAUGUGGUGGCUUUAGGGCAGAGAUCCAUAAUUUGCAUUUCUAAUAAGUUUUCAGGAGAUAUUAUUGAUGGUGUUGGUCUGGGAAACACACUUUGAGAACCAAAGUUGUACCUUAACAUAAUUUUUUAAAUGGCUAUAUUCUUUUGAGCAGAUGUGGCAUACAAUAGACAUUAGGACUUUUUCCAAUUUUUCACUGUUAUAAAUAAUACUGUAAUAAAUAUUUACAUUUUACAUAACUCUGUUUCUUUUUUAAAAAAUGGCUUUAUUGAGGUAUAUUUCACAUACCAUAAAAAUCCACCUAUUUUAAAUAUGCAAUUCGUUAUUUCUUGAACAUAAAUUCUAAAAAGAAGAAUUGCUGGGUGGGUCAAAGAUUACGAAUAUUUUUAAGGUUUUUGAUACAUAUCGACAAAUUGUCCUCUGAGGUUAUACAUAAUUACGCUCUCACAGCAGAGUACCAGAGUCUCAUUUUCUGAUUUCCUGGGGGCAACCCAGGGUAUUAUAAUUUUAAAAACAGCGUUACCAAUUUUAAAGGAGAAAAACAGUAUCACAUUGUUGCUUUUAUUUGUAUUUCUUUGACAUCAAUUGAGGUUGAAUAUUUCCCUCAUAUAUUUAUUUGACAUUAGUAUUUAUGAUUUUGUAAAUUGCUCUGCCUUAGGCAGGAUAUUUGUGCAGGUAUCAUGCACAGCACAAGACCAUGAGGGCAUAGUCAUCUUAAGGACAGACUAAUGCACAUAGAGAAUAUCCUUUGUAAAAUAUCAUUUCCCCACUAUUCUCAUUGAAUGCCAGCAUUUCUCUCUCUCUGUCUGUUUCUCUCUCUGCCUGUCUCUCCCUCUCUGUCUCUCUCUCUCUCUCUUAUUCUCUCUCUCUCUCACACACACACACCCCACAUUAUGAAGGACUUUCAGGCUGUGGGAAGCCCCAGGGAUUGCAAAAACAUGCUAGACUAAAAACUCCCAAGUGAAUUGAGUGAGUCAGUUUCCUGCAAAUAGCCAACUGAAUUUAAAGGAUAAGAGUGAUCAUGUUUGUUUAGUUAAUUUUGAAAGAAAGUGGUUAUUUUCGUUAAGUUAAAUAGUUUUCUUAUUGUUUCCACUCUGCUCUGAGGGUGUGCAGACUAUCUGAUAGACGUUCCCCUAGCACAGUGGAAGUUAGAAGAAAGAGGACCCACCGAGACAGCUGUAAUUGCUGAUGUUUGAAGUUUCCUAACUUUCCGCCACAGAAGGCUUAAGGUCGAAUAUCAAUAGCUAAAGCAUCGGUGAAGAAUUCUGCAUUAUGAGAUGGAGUCUAGCUCUGUCACCAGGCUGGAAUGCAGUUGCGUGAUCUCAGCUCACUGCAACCUCUACCUCCCGGGUUCAAGCAAUUCUCCUGCCUCAGCCUCCUGAGUAGCUGGGACUACAGGUACGUGCCACCACGCCUAGAUAAUUUUUGUAUUUUUAGUAGAGACGGGGUUUCAUCGUGUUGGCCAGGAUGGUCUCAAUCUCUUGACCUCGUGAUCUGCCCGUCUUGGCCUCCCAAAGUAUUGGGAUUGCAGGCGUGGGCCACCGCGCCCGACCCGUAAAACUUUAUUCUUCUAGUGUUACCUAAUGUGGAGCAACAUCUCUGGUUCUGAGUUAUUUGCUGUACAUUGUACAGAGGGCUCCACAAUAAAAAUGCCUUCUGUUUGUCGGUUUCAAGAGGAUACAGGUUCAGAGAAUGCACAGCAUCGCAUGGUCCCUUUCCACUGGUUCGGGGCACAUCAUGCGCUACAGUGCACCUGCCCAGCAUUGUGCUCACAUUCUACAUUCCAAUGUCCACUUGGGUGGUAUUUUCCAACCUUUUCACAAACAAGGGAAUCCCAGCCUUUUAUUAUUUCUCCCUCCUCUGCCCAUAUCAUGGGAAUUUUUCUUCCAAAUUGCAUUAAUAAGUAAUUAAUGGAAUUUAAAAAUUAAUCAGACACAGAUAAUGGCUAAUCGAUGCUUCUCAUCUUCACCAGAGUACCAGUGUAAUUAUUUUUAUCAUUCCAGUGAAAAGCAGAGAAAAUUGGCCUCUCAGUGAGUUUAUUCAGUCUUAUCACAGAUACAGUUUGCUUUCUGAUAAGCUUUUUAGAAAAUUGAAGGUAGCUCAAAGAACCUCGAUUAUUCCUUGAACACUACAUUUUGACAGGAAGCUAAGCAAGACGAGAGUAGAUUCUAUUCCUUCACAAAGAAGGGGUAGAUGUUUGGUGCGUGGAUUAUCAGGCAGCAAAGGACAGAAGAAUGUCUUGGCUAAUGCAUGGGGCUGGAAGCUGUGGAGAGAAAGGAUGAGGGAGAAGGGUGGCUUCUGUAUGUAGAUUCUACUUUUUUGUUUUGAGAUGGAGUCUUGCUCUGUUGCCCAGGCUGGAGUGCAGUGGCACGAUCUCGGCUCACUGCAAGCUCCGCCUCCUGGGUUCACGCCAUUCUCCUGCCUCAGCCUCCCGAGUAGCUGGGACUACAGGUGACCGCCACCACGCCUGUCUAAUUUUUUGUAUUUUUAGUAGAGAUGGGGUUUCACCAUGUUAGCCAGGAUGGUCUUGAUCUUCUGACCUCAAAUGAUCUGCCCACCUCGGCCUCCCAAAGUGCUGGGAUGACAGGCGUGAGCCAACCUGCCUGGCCUCUACAUUUUUUUUUUUUUUUUUAACUACUGGUGAGGAGGUGCAGACUAGUUGAGCCCUGGGUUCCCAUUUGUCUUUCCUCUCUCUCACCUCUGCCUCUUUUCUUUUUCAUUUCCUACUGUCUCCAAGGUAAUUGAUGGUGGGACCAGAAAGAGGAUGCAGUAAAAACCACUGGAGGGAAGAGUGAACUGGGCUAUCAGAUUGUAUGUGAGCUGAGAAGAAUACACACUCUUCAUUGUCUACGAUUAUUAUCUAACGGUGAUAUGUCAUCGCCUUAUUGCAUAUGUGUUAUACCUCCCCAAGACCGGGCACGUUCUUCUCUGCCUUAUUCCCCUCAUGCUUCAAGACUCCAUCCAGUCUGGGUAGGUGCUCCUCUUCUGUGUUCAGGAUAUUGUAUUUAAUUAUUGGUUUAUUUUUCCAACCUUCCCACUCCACUCUGCAAUCCAAUGAGGGCAUCUCUAUUCCCAGGGCCCCAGUAAAAUGCUUGCACAUGAUUCGUGUUCAAUAAAUACAUUUUUAAUAUAUUAAUGAAAA